GUGGGGAAUCUUAGACAAUGGGCGAAAGCCUGAUCCAGCCAUGCCGCGUGUGUGAAGAAGGUCUUCGGAUUGUAAAGCACUUUAAGUUGGGAGGAAGGGUAGUAACCUAAUACGUUGCUACUUUGACGUUACCGACAGAAUAAGCACCGGCUAACUUCGUGCCAGCAGCCGCGGUAAUACGAAGGGUGCAAGCGUUAAUCGGAAUUACUGGGCGUAAAGCGCGCGUAGGUGGUUCAGUAAGUUGGAAGUGAAAUCCCCGGGCUCAACCUGGGAACUGCUUUCAAAACUGCUGAGCUAGAGUACGGUAGAGGGUGGUGGAAUUUCCUGUGUAGCGGUGAAAUGCGUAGAUAUAGGAAGGAACACCAGUGGCGAAGGCGACCACCUGGACUGAUACUGACACUGAGGUGCGAAAGCGUGGGGAGCAAACAGGAUUAGAUACCCUUGUAGUCC
Molecule: ribosomal RNA, 450 nt
Filed under: uncultured bacterium
Lineage: Bacteria
Description: bacterial SSU rRNA
Rfam family: Bacterial small subunit ribosomal RNA
Source: RNAcentral